AGAGUUUGAUCAUGGCUCAGAUUGAACGCUGGCGGCAUGCCUUACACAUGCAAGUCGAACGGCAGCGCGGGGGCAACCCUGGCGGCGAGUGGCGAACGGGUGAAGUAAUAUAUCGGAACGUACCAAGAGUGGGGAUAACGUAGCGAAAGUUACGCUAAUACCGCAUACGAUCUAAGGAUGAAAGCAGGGGACCGCAAGGCCUUGUGCUCCUGGAGCGGCCGAUAUCUGAUUAGCUAGUUGGUGGGGUAAAGGCCUACCAAGGCAUCGAUCAGUAGCUGGUCUGAGAGGACGACCAGCCACACUGGGACUGAGACACGGCCCAGACUCCUACGGGAGGCAGCAGUGGGGAAUUUUGGACAAUGGGGGCAACCCUGAUCCAGCAAUGCCGCGUGAGUGAAGAAGGCCUUCGGGUUGUAAAGCUCUUUUGUCAGGGAAGAAACGGUUGUGGCUAAUAUCCAUGGCUAAUGACGGUACCUGAAGAAUAAGCACCGGCUAACUACGUG
This 503-nucleotide ribosomal RNA is filed under the name uncultured bacterium. Its description in RNAcentral is "bacterial SSU rRNA". It matches the Rfam family "Bacterial small subunit ribosomal RNA", at positions 8 to 507 of the family's 1533-position model. The record is from RNAcentral.